CGGUCAUAUCGAUAAUAAUAGUUGAAGAUUCCUGUAAAACAUAACGGCUCCAUGGUUCUAUGGCGUGUUCCUAACUCUGUUUCUGUUUGUGCUUAUUCUCAUAACUUUAUUGAUAUGGUCAUUACUAGCGAUUCUGGUUCCCAUUGGUAUUUGACUGGCUUUUACGGAUAUCCAGACCGACGGAGUCGUCACUUUUCUUGGUCUCUCCUUCGUUAACUGGCCGCUUUGUCUGAUCUUCUCUGGGUUUGUUUGGGCGACUUCUUUGAUUUGUUAAGCUCUAAGGACAAGCAUGGUGGGCUUCCCCAUCUGCUUGCUCUAUUAGAUGGUUUUCGUAACACAGUGGACGCUUGUAACCUUGUUGAUCUUCCACUGUAUGGCCAUCCUUUCACUUGGGAAAGGGGUCGGGGCACAUCUCAUUUUGUGGAGGAGAAACUAGACUGUGCACUAGCUUCUCCUAACUGGAUUAAUCUUUUUCCUGCAUCUCAUUUAUUAAAUUUGAUUGAACUAGUGUCGAAUCAUUCACCUAUUCUUUUGGACAUCUCAGCUUCGUCUUUCUUAGUUGGGCUUCGCAGAUUCAAAUUUGAAAACCCCUCGUUCUUCGAACCAGACUUAGAUGAUGUUGUUUCUGCUUCUUUAUAUUUACUGCCUAAACUCGCUUCUUAUUGUCAGUCUUUGCACAAUUGGGGUUGUGCUAUAGCAGGCAGGUUUAAACAUCGUAUCCAGGCUUUGCUUCAUCAAAUGCAUCAGUG
Molecule: unclassified non-coding RNA, 749 nt
Filed under: Hevea brasiliensis (rubber tree)
Lineage: Eukaryota; Viridiplantae; Streptophyta; Magnoliopsida; Malpighiales; Euphorbiaceae
Source: RNAcentral